Ornithodoros turicata is the source of this 513-nucleotide long non-coding RNA. RefSeq lists it as uncharacterized. The transcript has 3 exons. Lineage: Eukaryota; Metazoa; Arthropoda; Arachnida; Ixodida; Argasidae. The record is from RefSeq and is a predicted model, not a curated record.
AUCAUGCAUGCAGGUUCAUGGUAACGAGUAUGGCGGGCUAGAAUGCUGUGCUUCUGUGCGCCUCGCUUUCCUUUUAGUCUCUCCACAGUCUAAUCUGUAGCUUAGUGAAAAUAUUGUAAAGAAAAACCAAGAGUGUGAACAGGAUGACUUCUGCUCUCCUUGUUGCAUUAUACAUGCCGCCUCAUUUUGCACAGGUGUUUCACCAGGAUCGGCAAGAUUUCAUUGAUCUUGAGCCGGACGAAGUGAUUACCAAAAGCUGCAAAAAUCAAGAUUGCUCACAACUCCCAGAUCACUACCGCCACCACGGCCACGUCAGAAGAGCAGCACGCAAGAUUUUGAAGACGCAGCACCUCUGAUGGUCCCGGGCCGACAGUAAAGCACUAUUUCUGAAGCCUAUGCACCAAUUACUGCAUGGUUAUCAAAGCUUGUAGCUUCCCUCGAGACAGCGCACACGCCGCUGCAGGACCCGGGUGAUUAUAAAAAAUUCGUCCUUCCCGGCUUUGGUAACCAAGG